RNAcentral lists this ribosomal RNA (497 nucleotides) under uncultured bacterium. Its description in RNAcentral is "partial 16S ribosomal RNA". It matches the Rfam family "Bacterial small subunit ribosomal RNA", at positions 28 to 507 of the family's 1533-position model. The record is from RNAcentral.
GAUGAACGCUGGCGGCGUGCCUAAUACAUGCAAGUCGAGCGAACAGAUGAGGAGCUUGCUCCUCUGACGUUAGCGGCGGACGGGUGAGUAACACGUGGAUAACCUACCUAUAAGACUGGGAUAACUUCGGGAAACCGGAGCUAAUACCGGAUAAUAUAUUGAACCGCAUGGUUCAAUAGUGAAAGACGGUUUUGCUGUCACUUAUAGAUGGAUCCGCGCCGCAUUAGCUAGUUGGUAAGGUAACGGCUUACCAAGGCGACGAUGCGUAGCCGACCUGAGAGGGUGAGCGGCCACACUGGAACUGAGACACGGUCCAGACUCCUACGGGAGGCAGCAGUAGAGAAUCUUCCGCAAUGGGCGAAAGCCUGACGGAGCAACGCCGCGUGAGUGAUGAAGGUCUUCGGAUCGUAAAACUCUGUUAUUAGGGAAGAACAAAUGUGUAAGUAACUAUGCACGUCUUGACGGUACCUAAUCAGAAAGCCACGGCUAACUACGUG